UAGUCAUUUAGCAGACGCUUUUAUCAAAAGCAACUUAUAAAUGAGGACAAUGAAAGCAAUCAAAAUCAACAAAAGAGCAAUGAUAUACAAGUGCUAUAACAAGUCAGCUUAAAUGCAGUACACAUAGCAAGGGCUUUUAAAUAAUAUGAUAAAAAUAAAAGUGACUUUGUGAUUCUUUGGGAUGGCACAAUCAAGCAACGUUCACUUGCAGAAUGCAAGCUUCUAGAGGGCACAUAAGUCUGAAGUCAUGAAUUUAGGUAAAGGAGUGCAGAGCCAGUGGUGGUUUUGUAUGCAAACAUCAAUGCCUUGAAUUUUAUGCGAGCAGCUAUUGGUAGCCAGUGCAAAUUGAUAAAAAGAGGUGUGACAUGUAUUCUUUUCGGCUCAUUAAAAAUUAAUCUUGCUGCCGUGUUCUGGAUUAAUUGUAAAGGUUUGAUAGAACUGCUGGAAGACCUGCCAAGAGGGCAUUGCAAUAAUCCAGCCUGGACAAAACAAGAGCUUGAACAAGGAGUUGUGCAGCAUUUUCUGAAAGAAAGGGCCUGAUCUUCUUGAUGUUGAAUAAAGCAAAUCUGCAGGAUCGGACAGUUUUAGCAAUGUGGUCUGUGAAAAAUUUUGCUGAUCAUCAAUCAGAACUCCAAGGCUUCUGGCUGUUUUUGAAUGAGUUAUGGCUGAUGUGCCAUACACUCUCACCUAAAGGGUGCAUAUUAGUACCUUUUGAAGGAGUACCACCCCAGUGAUGGCUUUUGUGCCUUUAUUUUUGAGAUUGUAGUUGUUAAAGGGUUACAUUAUACUUUGGUGAUUCUAAAUAUAACAGUUUCUUCUGCUUGUGAAAAAAAAAGAUUGUUGUAAGAAUAUCUAUGAUGUAAUUGUUAGACUGAACUAAUAAAAUAUUUGCUUGUAAUUAUAAGCAGUAGAGUUAGUCAGUGGAGUAAAUAAAUUAGAAAAAUAUAUGCUUCAGAUGCCUUAAUUUUUUUUUUCAUAUAUGUUAAUGCUUUAGCAACAAAUAAAAUGAAUUAUAUUUCUUGUU
This is a long non-coding RNA of Carassius carassius (crucian carp), 1024 nucleotides long. RefSeq lists it as uncharacterized. Lineage: Eukaryota; Metazoa; Chordata; Actinopteri; Cypriniformes; Cyprinidae. The transcript has 2 exons. The record is from RefSeq and is a predicted model, not a curated record.